CCUCCAAGUAGAGGGAAAGGAUAUCUUCGAGAAAGAAAACCGGGGCCGGGUGCGUAAAGGAUUAUACAAUCUUCCUUCCCAUAGGGAUACCCGAAAGAAAUUGAAUUUAUACCUAAUUGGUAUAUGGGAGCGGCAUCGUUUUUAUAUUUAAGCUACGGUGGUGAAAGAAGAAGUAUGCGUUCUAUUAGCUAGUUGGGAGACAUAAAGGCUUCCCCAAGGGCGCCGAUAGAUAGGGGGUUCUGAGAGGGAUAUCCCCCCACACCUGGUACUGAGAUACGGACCCAGACUCCUACGGGGAGGCAGCAAGUGAGGAAUAUUGGACAAAUGGUCGGAAAGACUGAUCCCAGCCAUGCCGCGUGCAGGAUGAAAGGUCCUAUGGAUUGUAAACUGCUUUUGUAAGGGAAGAAUAAGGAGUACGUGUACUUUUGAUGACGGUACCUUACGAAUAAGCAUCGGCUAACUCCGUGCCAGCAGCCGCGGUAAUACGGAGGAAUGCGAGCGUUAUCCGGGAAUCAUUGGGUUUAAAGGGUCCGUAGGCGGGCUGAUAAGUCAGAGGUGAAAGCGCUUAGCUCAACUAAGCAACUGCCUUUGAAACUGUCAGUCUUGAAUGAUUGUGAAGUAGUUGGAAUGUGUAGUGUAGCGGUGAAAUGCUUAGAUAUUACACAGAACACCGAUAGCGAAGGCAUAUUACUAACAAUUUAUUGACGCUGAUGGACGAAAGCGUGGGGAGCGAACAGG
This 738-nucleotide ribosomal RNA is filed under the name uncultured Capnocytophaga sp. RNAcentral describes it as "bacterial SSU rRNA". It matches the Rfam family "Bacterial small subunit ribosomal RNA", at positions 54 to 776 of the family's 1533-position model. The record is from RNAcentral. Lineage: Bacteria; Pseudomonadati; Bacteroidota; Flavobacteriia; Flavobacteriales; Flavobacteriaceae.